UACGUAGGGGGCAAGCGUUGUCCGGAAUCAUUGGGCGUAAAGCGCGUGUAGGCGGUUCAGUAAGUCUGCUGUGAAAGUCCAGGGCUCAACCCUGGGAUGCCGGUGGAUACUGUCGGGCUCGAGUCCGGAAGAGGAGUGUGGAAUUCCUGGUGUAGCGGUGAAAUGCGCAGAUAUCAGGAGGAACACCGGUGGCGAAGGCGGGUCUCUGGGCCGAUACUGACGCUGAGGAGCGAAAGCGUGGGGAGCGAACAGG
This 253-nucleotide ribosomal RNA is filed under the name uncultured bacterium. RNAcentral describes it as "partial 16S ribosomal RNA". It matches the Rfam family "Bacterial small subunit ribosomal RNA", at positions 524 to 776 of the family's 1533-position model. The record is from RNAcentral.